GAAGACAUUGUUCAAGUCUCAAGAGCUAUGGGACUUGGUGGAGAACGGGUAUGAAGAACCGAAUCUAGCACCUGUCGAACCUGACCAGCGAUUGAGAGAAAAUCGCAGGAAUGAUGCAAAGGCCUUACUGCUCAUCCAAUCAGCAUUGGAGGAUGAAAUAUUUCCUCGAAUUUCAGUAGCUUCUACCUCCAAAUAGGCAUGGGAGAUUUUGAAGCAAGAAUAUUUGGGUGACAAGAAGGUAAUUACUGUAAAAUUACAAACUCUUCGUCGUGAUUUUGAG
Molecule: unclassified non-coding RNA, 280 nt
Filed under: Hevea brasiliensis (rubber tree)
Lineage: Eukaryota; Viridiplantae; Streptophyta; Magnoliopsida; Malpighiales; Euphorbiaceae
Source: RNAcentral